GAUGAACGCUGGCGGCGUGCCUAAUACAUGCAAGUCGAGCGAACAGACGAGGAGCUUGCUCCUCUGACGUUAGCGGCGGACGGGUGAGUAACACGUGGAUAACCUACCUAUAAGACUGGGAUAACUUCGGGAAACCGGAGCUAAUACCGGAUAAUAUAUUGAACCGCAUGGUUCAAUAGUGAAAGACGGUUUUGCUGUCACUUAUAGAUGGAUCCGCGCCGCAUUAGCUAGUUGGUAAGGUAACGGCUUACCAAGGCGACGAUGCGUAGCCGACCUGAGAGGGUGAUCGGCCACACUGGAACUGAGACACGGUCCAGACUCCUACGGGAGGCAGCAGUAGGGAAUCUUCCGCAAUGGGCGAAAGCCUGACGGAGCAACGCCGCGUGAGUGAUGAAGGUCUUCGGAUCGUAAAACUCUGUUAUUAGGGAAGAACAAAUGUGUAAGUAACUAUGCACGUCCUGACGGUACCUAAUCAGAAAGCCACGGCUAACUACG
RNAcentral lists this ribosomal RNA (495 nucleotides) under uncultured bacterium. RNAcentral describes it as "partial 16S ribosomal RNA". It matches the Rfam family "Bacterial small subunit ribosomal RNA", at positions 28 to 505 of the family's 1533-position model. The record is from RNAcentral.